Molecule: ribosomal RNA, 292 nt
Filed under: uncultured Acidobacteriota bacterium
Lineage: Bacteria; Pseudomonadati; Acidobacteriota
Description: uncultured Acidobacteria bacterium partial 16S ribosomal RNA
Source: RNAcentral
GGACUACCGGGGUAUCUAAUCCUGUUUGCUACCCACGCUUUCGUGUCUCAGCGUCAGAAAUGGUCCAGUAAGCUGUCUACACCACAGGUGUUCCUCCUGAUAUCUACGCAUUUCACCGCUACACCAGGAAUUCCGCUUACCUCUCCCAUCCUCUAGCAUUCCAGUUUCUAAUGCACCCUCCCAGUUAAGCCGGGAGAUUUCACACCAGACUUGGAGCACCGCCUACACACUCUUUACGCCCAGUAAUUCCGAACAACGCUUGCUGCCUACGUAUUACCGCGGCGGCUGGCAC